CAGUUCUCUUCAGUUGGUCUUGUUUGGACUUGAUUGCAACCGAAUCGAACCAGUUAUUGUUGAUGUUGAGAUUCGGAAGGAUUUUGACCGGUUGAUAGAUAUUCAGAAUUCGGUCUUCGUGGCGGUGGAGGAGGAGGACGAGACGCAUGAAUCCGGCGGGCCAGGUCUUUGUGGCGGAAGACGGGACCGGAAGUAACCGAGCUUAUGGAGGAUAUGGUUCAUUCCAAAGGAGGAGGAGGAUGAAACACCGAGUGUCAAAAGUUCUACCCAAGGUAACCAAAAAUAUUCCAAUCUGAUCCUGCUAACAACCCAGCGUCUCCGUGUUGUCCCACGCAGUUUGUUGAACGGAAGCUGUAACGACCGCAAAAACACCUGCUCCGGAAGUGCGUAAACCGACGUUGUCCCGUACUCCGGUGGCCAUCAAUCCAUGGGACAUAAACUGUGGCGCCGCACCCCGCCGUAUCUGCGACUAGUCGAGGAG
This is a long non-coding RNA of Culex quinquefasciatus (southern house mosquito), 481 nucleotides long. RefSeq lists it as uncharacterized. Lineage: Eukaryota; Metazoa; Arthropoda; Insecta; Diptera; Culicidae. The transcript is spliced from 3 exons. The record is from RefSeq and is a predicted model, not a curated record.